GGGUGCGGCGCUACCAUGCAGUCGAGCGGAACGAGUUAUCUGAACCUUCGGGGAACGAUAACGGCGUCGAGCGGCGGACGGGUGAGUAAUGCCUAGGAAAUUGCCCUGAUGUGGGGGAUAACCAUUGGAAACGAUGGCUAAUACCGCAUGAUGCCUACGGGCCAAAGAGGGGGACCUUCGGGCCUCUCGCGUCAGGAUAUGCCUAGGUGGGAUUAGCUAGUUGGUGAGGUAAGGGCUCACCAAGGCGACGAUCCCUAGCUGGUCUGAGAGGAUGAUCAGCCACACUGGAACUGAGACACGGUCCAGACUCCUACGGGAGGCAGCAGUGGGGAAUAUUGCACAAUGGGCGCAAGCCUGAUGCAGCCAUGCCGCGUGUGUGAAGAAGGCCUUCGGGUUGUAAAGCACUUUCAGUCGUGAGGAAGGUAGUGUAGUUAAUAGCUGCAUUAUUUGACGUUAGCGACAGAAGAAGCACCGGCUAACUCCGUGCCAGCAGCCGCGGUAAUACGGAGGGUGCGAGCGUUAAUCGGAAUUACUGGGCGUAAAGCGCAUGCAGGUGGUUUGUUAAGUCAGAUGUGAAAGCCCGGGGCUCAACCUCGGAAUAGCAUUUGAAACUGGCAGACUAGAGUACUGUAGAGGGGGGUAGAAUUUCAGGUGUAGCGGUGAAAUGCGUAGAGAUCUGAAGGAAUACCGGUGGCGAAGGCGGCCCCCUGGACAGAUACUGACACUCAGAUGCGAAAGCGUGGGGAGCAAACAGGAUUAGAUACCCUGGUAGUCCACGCCGUAAACGAUGUCUACUUGGAGGUUGUGGCCUUGAGCCGUGGCUUUCGGAGCUAACGCGUUAAGUAGACCGCCUGGGGAGUACGGUCGCAAGAUUAAAACUCAAAUGAAUUGACGGGGGCCCGCACAAGCGGUGGAGCAUGUGGUUUAAUUCGAUGCAACGCGAAGAACCUUACCUACUCUUGACAUCCAGAGAACUUUCCAGAGAUGGAUUGUGCCUUCGGGAACUCUGAGACAGGUGCUGCAUGGCUGUCGUCAGCUCGUGUUGGUGAAAUGUGGGUUAAGUCCCGCAACGAGCGCAA
Molecule: ribosomal RNA, 1079 nt
Filed under: Vibrio campbellii
Lineage: Bacteria; Pseudomonadati; Pseudomonadota; Gammaproteobacteria; Vibrionales; Vibrionaceae
Description: bacterial SSU rRNA
Rfam family: Bacterial small subunit ribosomal RNA
Source: RNAcentral